UACGUAGGGUGCGAGCGUUAAUCGGAAUCACUGGGCGUAAAGCGCACGUAGGCGGCUUGGAAAGUCACAUGUGGAAGCCCUCGGCUCAACCGGGGAACUGCGUGAUACUGCCUAGCUUGAGUCCUGGAGAGGGAGGCGGAAUUCCCGGUGUAGGAGUGAAAUCCGUAGAUAUCGGGAGGAACACCAGUGGCGAAGGCGGCCACCUGGACGGGUACAGACGCUGAGGUGCGAAAGUGUGGGGAGCAAACAG
This 250-nucleotide ribosomal RNA is filed under the name uncultured bacterium. RNAcentral's name for it is "partial 16S ribosomal RNA". It matches the Rfam family "Bacterial small subunit ribosomal RNA", at positions 524 to 775 of the family's 1533-position model. The record is from RNAcentral.